Molecule: ribosomal RNA, 437 nt
Filed under: Betaproteobacteria bacterium
Lineage: Bacteria; Pseudomonadati; Pseudomonadota; Betaproteobacteria
Description: bacterial SSU rRNA
Rfam family: Bacterial small subunit ribosomal RNA
Source: RNAcentral
AAACUGAAGAGUUUGAUCCUGGCUCAGAUUGAACGCUGGCGGCAUGCUUUACACAUGCAAGUCGAACGGCAGCACGGGGGCAACCCUGGUGGCGAGUGGCGAACGGGUGAGUAAUGCAUCGGAACGUAUCUUCGAGUGGGGGAUAACGCACCGAAAGGUGUGCUAAUACCGCAUAAUCUCUACGGAGAAAAGCAGGGGAUCGCAAGACCUUGCGCUCUUGGAGCGGCCGAUGCCUGAUUAGCUAGUUGGUGAGGUAAAGGCUUACCAAGGCGACGAUCAGUAGCUGGUCUGAGAGGACGACCAGCCACACUGGGACUGAGACACGGCCCAGACUCCUACGGGAGGCAGCAGUGGGGAAUUUUGGACAAUGGGGGAAACCCUGAUCCAGCCAUGCCGCGUGAGUGAAGAAGGCCUUCGGGUUGUAAAGCUCUUUCAGC